Perognathus longimembris pacificus (Pacific pocket mouse) is the source of this 155-nucleotide long non-coding RNA. RefSeq lists it as uncharacterized. NCBI's taxonomy places the organism in Eukaryota, Metazoa, Chordata, Mammalia, Rodentia, Heteromyidae. The record is from RefSeq and is a predicted model, not a curated record. The transcript has 3 exons.
ACUGGCAGCAAUAAAGAAAAAAAAAAAGUAAAUGACAGAGACAUUUGGAAACUACAUGCACUUUUUAUAUCAAGCCAUUUGCAAACCAAUACUCUUUAUUGAACCGAACUUCAAGAAAAGGAAACAUGGUUUGUUUGGGAUUUUUGUUGGUUGGG